UACAGAGGUCCCAAGCGUUGUUCGGAUUCAUUGGGCGUAAAGGGUGCGUAGGCGGCGCGGUAAGUCGGGUGUGAAAUCUCGGGGCUUAACUCCGAAACUGCAUUCGAUACUGCCGUGCUUGAGGACUGGAGAGGAGACUGGAAUUUACGGUGUAGCGGUGAAAUGCGUAGAUAUCAGGAGGAACACCGGUGGUGUAGACGGCUCUCUGGACCAUAACUGACGCUGAGACACGAAAGCGUGGGUAGCAAACAGG
Molecule: ribosomal RNA, 253 nt
Filed under: uncultured bacterium
Lineage: Bacteria
Description: partial 16S ribosomal RNA
Rfam family: Bacterial small subunit ribosomal RNA
Source: RNAcentral